CCGGCCAUGAGAUCUAUAUUC
This 21-nucleotide non-coding RNA is filed under the name Arabidopsis thaliana (thale cress). Lineage: Eukaryota; Viridiplantae; Streptophyta; Magnoliopsida; Brassicales; Brassicaceae. The record is from RNAcentral.